RNAcentral lists this ribosomal RNA (305 nucleotides) under uncultured bacterium. RNAcentral describes it as "bacterial SSU rRNA". It matches the Rfam family "Bacterial small subunit ribosomal RNA", at positions 335 to 658 of the family's 1533-position model. The record is from RNAcentral.
GUCCUACGGGAGGCAGCAGUCGGGAAUAUUGCGCAAUGGAGGAAACUCUGACGCAGUGACGCCGCGUAUAGGAAGAAGGUUUUCGGAUUGUAAACUAUUGUCGUUAGGGAAGAUAAAAGACUGUACCUAAGGAGGAAGCCCCGGCUAACUAUGUGCCAGCAGCCGCGGUAAUACAUAGGGGGCAAGCGUUAUCCGGAAUUAUUGGGCGUAAAGGGUGCGUAGGUGGUUUCUUAAGUCAGAGGUGAAAGGCUACGGCUCAACCGUAGUAAGCCUUUGAAACUGGGGAACUUGAGUGCAGGAGAGGG